ACGCUGGCGGCGUGCCUAACACAUGCAAGUCGAGCGGCAGCGAGUUUUACACUGAAUUCUGGAAGCUUCUGGUUUGAAGAGAAGAUUUAUUCAAGAAUUUUGUGUAAAAUGUCGGCGAGCGGCGGACGGCUGAGUAACGCGUGGGAACGUACCCCAAAGUGAGGGAUAACGCAUCGAAAGGUGUGCUAAUACCGCAUAUGGUCUUCGGAUUAAAGCCUUCGGGCGCUUUGGGAACGGCCUGCGUAAGAUUAGAUAGUUGGUGGGGUAAUGGCCUACCAAGUCGACGAUCUUUAACUGGUUUGAGAGGAUGAUCAGUCAGACUGGAACUGAGACACGGUCCAGACUCCUACGGGAGGCAGCAGUGAGGAAUCUUCCACAAUGGGCGAAAGCCUGGUGGAGCAACGCCGCGUGCAGGAUGAAGGCCUUCGGGUUGUAAACUGCUUUUAUAAGUGAGGAUUAUGACAGUAACUUAUGAAUAAGGAUCGGCUAACUACGUGCCAGCAGCCGCGGUCAUACGUAGGAUCCGAGCGUUAUCCGGAGUGACUGGGCGUAAAGAGUUGCGUAGGUGGUUCGAUAAGCGAAUAGUGAAAUCUGGUGGCUCAACCAUUCAGACUAUUAUUCGAACUGUUGAACUCGAGAGCAGAAGAGGUAGCUGGAAUUUCUAGUGUAGGAGUGAAAUCCGUAGAUAUUAGAAGGAACACCGAUGGCGUAGGCAGGCUACUGGGCUGUUUCUGACACUGAGGCACGAAAGCGUGGGGAGCGAACCGGAUUAGAUACCCGGGUAGUCCACGCCGUAAACGAUGGAUACUAGCUGUUUGGGGGUAUCGACCCCCUGAGUAGCGAAGCUAACGCGUUAAGUAUCCCGCCUGUGGAGUACGAUCGCAGAUUAAACAUAAAGGAAUUGACGGGGACCCGCA
This 917-nucleotide ribosomal RNA is filed under the name uncultured bacterium. RNAcentral's name for it is "bacterial SSU rRNA". It matches the Rfam family "Bacterial small subunit ribosomal RNA", at positions 33 to 925 of the family's 1533-position model. The record is from RNAcentral.